UCUGUUCUGCAUCUUGCUCUUUAGUUUAACUCAAGCUGUCAGUUCAAGCUUUUACCUCUGGAGGCGUGCCGUUGAUGGAAUCAGAGUUUUCAGAGCCAAGUUCCUCAGGGACUACACAUUUCCACAAUCCAUAGGUUUUGCCUACAGUUGUCUGCCAAAGACGAAGGGU
Molecule: long non-coding RNA, 169 nt
Organism: Amblyraja radiata (thorny skate)
Lineage: Eukaryota; Metazoa; Chordata; Chondrichthyes; Rajiformes; Rajidae
Exons: 3
Source: RefSeq, a predicted model, not a curated record